CUGGCUCAGAUUGAACGCUGGCGGCAGGCUUAACACAUGCAAGUCGAGCGGAGCGAGGGUGCUUGCACCUUAGCUUAGCGGCGGACGGGUGAGUAAUGCUUAGGAAUCUGCCUAUUAGUGGGGGACAACAUUCCGAAAGGAAUGCUAAUACCGCAUACGCCCUACGGGGGAAAGCAGGGGAUCUUCGGACCUUGCGCUAAUAGAUGAGCCUAAGUCGGAUUAGCUAGUUGGUGGGGUAAAGGCCUACCAAGGCGACGAUCUGUAGCGGGUCUGAGAGGAUGAUCCGCCACACUGGGACUGAGACACGGCCCAGACUCCUACGGGAGGCAGCAGUGGGGAAUAUUGGACAAUGGGCGGAAGCCUGAUCCAGCCAUGCCGCGUGUGUGAAGAAGGCCUUUUGGUUGUAAAGCACUUUAAGCGAGGAGGAGGCUACUUAGAUUAAUACUCUAGGAUAGUGGACGUUACUCGCAGAAUAAGCACCGGCUAACUCUGUGCCAGCAGCCGCGGUAAUACAGAGGGUGCGAGCGUUAAUCGGAUUUACUGGGCGUAAAGCGUGCGUAGGCGGCUUUUUAAGUCGGAUGUGAAAUCCCCGAGCUUAACUUGGGAAUUGCAUUCGAUACUGGGAAGCUAGAGUAUGGGAGAGGAUGGUAGAAUUCCAGGUGUAGCGGUGAAAUGCGUAGAGAUCUGGAGGAAUACCGAUGGCGAAGGCAGCCAUCUGGCCUAAUACUGACGCUGAGGUACGAAAGCAUGGGGAGCAAACAGGAUUAGAUACCCUGGUAGUCCAUGCCGUAAACGAUGUCUACUAGCCGUUGGGGCCUUUGAGGCUUUAGUGGC
This 834-nucleotide ribosomal RNA is filed under the name Acinetobacter junii. RNAcentral describes it as "bacterial SSU rRNA". It matches the Rfam family "Bacterial small subunit ribosomal RNA", at positions 19 to 847 of the family's 1533-position model. The record is from RNAcentral. Lineage: Bacteria; Pseudomonadati; Pseudomonadota; Gammaproteobacteria; Moraxellales; Moraxellaceae.